GAUGAACGCUGGCGGCGUGCUUAACACAUGCAAGUCGAACGGGAAUUAUUUUAUUGAAACUUCGGUCGAUUUAAUUUAAUUCUAGUGGCGGACGGGUGAGUAACGCGUGGGUAACCUGCCUUAUACAGGGGGAUAACAGUCAGAAAUGGCUGCUAAUACCGCAUAAGCGCACAGAGCUGCAUGGUUCAGUGUGAAAAACUCCGGUGGUAUAAGAUGGACCCGCGUUGGAUUAGCUGGUUGGUGGGGUAACGGCCCACCAAGGCGACGAUCCAUAGCCGGCCUGGGAGGGGGACCGGCCACAUUGGGACUGAGACACGGCCCAGACUCCUACGGGAGGCAGCAGUGGGGAAUAUUGGACAAUGGGGGAAACCCUGAUGCAGCGACGCCGCGUGAAGGAAGAAGUAUCUCGGUAUGUAAACUUCUAUCAGCAGGGAAGAUAGUGACGGUACCUGGAGAAGAAGCCCCGGCUAACUACGUG
This 478-nucleotide ribosomal RNA is filed under the name uncultured bacterium. RNAcentral describes it as "partial 16S ribosomal RNA". It matches the Rfam family "Bacterial small subunit ribosomal RNA", at positions 28 to 507 of the family's 1533-position model. The record is from RNAcentral.